This 510-nucleotide ribosomal RNA is filed under the name Candida albicans. RNAcentral describes it as "eukaryotic LSU rRNA". The stretch from base 143 to 296 matches the Rfam family "5.8S ribosomal RNA". The record is from RNAcentral. Lineage: Eukaryota; Fungi; Ascomycota; Pichiomycetes; Serinales; Debaryomycetaceae.
GGGGUCUUGACUGCUAUUGCACCACAUGUGUUUUUCUUUGAAACAAACUUGCUUUGGCGGUGGGCCCAGCCUGCCGCCAGAGGUCUAAACUUACAACCAAUUUUUUAUCAACUUGUCACACCAGAUUAUUACUAAUAGUCAAAACUUUCAACAACGGAUCUCUUGGUUCUCGCAUCGAUGAAGAACGCAGCGAAAUGCGAUACGUAAUAUGAAUUGCAGAUAUUCGUGAAUCAUCGAAUCUUUGAACGCACAUUGCGCCCUCUGGUAUUCCGGAGGGCAUGCCUGUUUGAGCGUCGUUUCUCCCUCAAACCGCUGGGUUUGGUGUUGAGCAAUACGACUUGGGUUUGCUUGAAAGACGGUAGUGGUAAGGCGGGAUCGCUUUGACAAUGGCUUAGGUCUAACCAAAAACAUUGCUUGCGGCGGUAACGUCUACCACGUAUAUCUUCAAACUUUGACCUCAAAUCAGGUAGGACUACCCGCUGAACUUAAGCAUAUCAAUAAGCGGAGGAA